Molecule: ribosomal RNA, 394 nt
Filed under: uncultured bacterium
Lineage: Bacteria
Description: partial 16S ribosomal RNA
Rfam family: Bacterial small subunit ribosomal RNA
Source: RNAcentral
CCUACGGGAGGCAGCAGUGAGGAAUAUUGGUCAAUGGGCGGAAGCCUGAACCAGCCAAGUAGCGUGCAGGAUGACGGCCCUACGGGUUGUAAACUGCUUUUAUACGGGAAUAACGCGCCUUACGUGUAGGGCUUUGCAUGUACCGUAUGAAUAAGGACCGGCUAAUUCCGUGCCAGCAGCCGCGGUAAUACGGAAGGUCCGGGCGUUAUCCGGAUUUAUUGGGUUUAAAGGGUGCGUAGGCCGCCUGGUAAGCGUGAUGUGAAAUGUCCGGGCUCAACCCGGGCCUUGCAGCGCGUACUGGCGUGCUAGAGUCCACGGAAGGCAGGCGGAAUUCGUGGUGUAGCGGUGAAAUGCUUAGAUAUUACGAAGAACCCCGAUUGCGAAGGCAGCUUGC